GGGGUUGUGGCUCAGUGGUAGAGUGCUGCCUAGCAUGUGUGAGGCAUGAGGUUCAAUUCUCAGCACCG
Molecule: transfer RNA, 68 nt
Filed under: Marmota monax (woodchuck)
Lineage: Eukaryota; Metazoa; Chordata; Mammalia; Rodentia; Sciuridae
Description: tRNA.Ala
Source: RNAcentral